RNAcentral lists this transfer-messenger RNA (361 nucleotides) under Candidatus Desantisiibacteriota bacterium. It matches the Rfam family "transfer-messenger RNA". From Rfam's summary of the family: Bacterial tmRNA, also known as 10Sa RNA or SsrA, is named for its dual tRNA and mRNA-like properties. Lineage: Bacteria; Candidatus Desantisiibacteriota. The record is from RNAcentral.
GGGGGCGAAAAGGUUUCGACGGGGAUAUUUUGAAGAUAUAGGUUGCGUACCGAGGAGCUGCCCGGCCUCGUUAAAAGGCAGAAUUACAAUAAUUGCUGAAUACGACGAUUUAGCUCUCGCGGCUUAGUUGCCGCGCAUCCUGAUAUUCUUUCGCCUGUGAAGGUAUUAUAGGGUGUAAAACAAGCAGGCUGGCUAACCCAUGGAUCUUGCUUGGACAUAGGUUAGUAAGAAAAAUAAGCUGGCAUCUCCUGAGAUUUUGCCUGUGGAAGCUUGGAGAUGCGAGAUUAAAUCACAGGAUAUGUACGUAGUAGCCUUAUCUUUAAGUCUUCGGACGCGGGUUCGAUUCCCGCCGCCUCCACCA